CUGCAGCCAAUUAAGCCGACUGUGCUCUUUUCCCAUGGGGCCCAGUGUGCAAUGGCUGCGAACAGCAGCCUCCUUGGUAGUGUAUGCAGCCUGUUGGUUGUACGGGUUGCCCUAAGGGACCUUGGAGACAGUU
Molecule: small nucleolar RNA, 133 nt
Organism: Panthera leo (lion)
Lineage: Eukaryota; Metazoa; Chordata; Mammalia; Carnivora; Felidae
Gene: SNORA70
Rfam family: Small nucleolar RNA SNORA70
About the family: snoRNA U70 seems to be exclusive to mammals and is a member of the H/ACA class of snoRNA which contain H (ANANNA) and ACA box motifs. H/ACA box snoRNAs are involved in the conversion of uridines to pseudouridines (5-ribosyluracil) a constituent of structural RNAs (transfer, ribosomal, small nuclear, and small nucleolar).
Source: Ensembl